Podarcis lilfordi (Lilford's wall lizard) is the source of this 69-nucleotide non-coding RNA. The record is from the annotation of a GenBank genome assembly. NCBI's taxonomy places the organism in Eukaryota, Metazoa, Chordata, Lepidosauria, Squamata, Lacertidae.
GCCAUAGCUCAGGGGCAGAGCAUCUGGCUUACGUACAGAGGGUCCCAGGUUCAAUUCUCAGCAUCUCCA